AGGAAUAUUUGAUGGAAUAAAUUUUGAGAAAUGACCUCAUCAUGACGAAGCAGAAUCCGGAGCUGCGGCUGCGCUCAGGGGGUUCUGCCCCCUCAAAAAACUUCCUUGGAAUUCCUCCAGAUCUAAUUCCUGAAGAUUUAAUUCCUCAGGAUUUUAAUUCCUCGGGAUUUUCAUGUUUUAAGGAAUAUUUGGUGAAAUAAAUAUUGGGAAAUGACCUUGUCAUGACUAAGCAGAAUCUGGAGCUGCGGCUGCGCUCUGGGGGUUCUGCCACCAAAAAUCUCCCUUGGAAUUCCUUGGGAUUCUAAUUCCUAAAGAUUUCAUUCCUCAGGAUUUUAAUUCCUUG
This is a non-coding RNA of Sturnus vulgaris (Common starling), 343 nucleotides long. Lineage: Eukaryota; Metazoa; Chordata; Aves; Passeriformes; Sturnidae. The record is from RefSeq and is a predicted model, not a curated record.